Bradysia coprophila is the source of this 167-nucleotide long non-coding RNA. Lineage: Eukaryota; Metazoa; Arthropoda; Insecta; Diptera; Sciaridae. The record is from RefSeq and is a predicted model, not a curated record.
UUAUAACUGUCAAGGAGUUACAACUUUCGAAGAUAUAAAUCAGUAAGCGGUGCGACAACUCUUCAGGUAAAUUAUAACCCGACGAGAUGGGAAUCUCACUGACUAUGUUAGCUGAAUCGAAUACUUACUUGUUGUUCAACCGUUGGAUACUGGUUCUUCUUGUGAUA